GCCAGACUCCUACGGGAGGCAGCAGUGGGGGAUAUUGCACAAUGGGGGGAACCCUGAUGCAGCGACGCCGCGUGGGUGAAGAGGUAUUUCGGUAUGUAAAGCUCUAUCAGCAGGGAAGAAGAAAGACGGUACCUGAGUAAGAAGCCCCGGCUAACUACGUGCCAGCAGCCGCGGUAAUACGUAGGGGGCAAGCGUUAUCCGGAUUUACUGGGUGUAAAGGGAGCGUAGACGGCAGUGCAAGUCCGGAGUGAAAGCCCGGGGCUCAACCCUGGGACUGCUCUGGAAACUGUAAAGCUGGAGUGCGGGAGGGGCAGGCGGAAUUCCUGGUGUAGCGGUGAAAUGCGUAGAUAUCAGGAGGAACACCGGCGGCGAAGGCGGCCUGCUGGACCGUAACUGACGUUGAGGCUCGAAAGCGUGGGGAGCAAACAGGAUUAGAUACCCGUGUA
This 446-nucleotide ribosomal RNA is filed under the name uncultured bacterium. RNAcentral describes it as "bacterial SSU rRNA". It matches the Rfam family "Bacterial small subunit ribosomal RNA", at positions 330 to 792 of the family's 1533-position model. The record is from RNAcentral.